Molecule: ribosomal RNA, 2928 nt
Filed under: Escherichia coli
Lineage: Bacteria; Pseudomonadati; Pseudomonadota; Gammaproteobacteria; Enterobacterales; Enterobacteriaceae
Description: bacterial LSU rRNA
Rfam family: Bacterial large subunit ribosomal RNA
Source: RNAcentral
GGGUUGUGAGGUUAAGCGACUAAGCGUACACGGUGGAUGCCCUGGCAGUCAGAGGCGAUGAAGGACGUGCUAAUCUGCGAUAAGCGUCGGUAAGGUGAUAUGAACCGUUAUAACCGGCGAUUUCCGAAUGGGGAAACCCAGUGUGUUUCGACACACUAUCAUUAACUGAAUCCAUAGGUUAAUGAGGCGAACCGGGGGAACUGAAACAUCUAAGUACCCCGAGGAAAAGAAAUCAACCGAGAUUCCCCAGUAGCGGCGAGCGAACGGGGAGCAGCCCAGAGCCUGAAUCAGUGUGUGUGUUAGUGGAAGCGUCUGGAAAGGCGCGCGAUACAGGGUGACAGCCCCGUACACAAAAAUGCACAUAUUGUGAGCUCGAUGAGUAGGGCGGGACACGUGGUAUCCUGUCUGAAUAUGGGGGGACCAUCCUCCAAGGCUAAAUACUCCUGACUGACCGAUAGUGAACCAGUACCGUGAGGGAAAGGCGAAAAGAACCCCGGCGAGGGGAGUGAAAAAGAACCUGAAACCGUGUACGUACAAGCAGUGGGAGCACGCUUAGGCGUGUGACUGCGUACCUUUUGUAUAAUGGGUCAGCGACUUAUAUUCUGUAGCAAGGUUAACCGAAUAGGGGAGCCGAAGGGAAACCGAGUCUUAACUGGGCGUUAAGUUGCAGGGUAUAGACCCGAAACCCGGUGAUCUAGCCAUGGGCAGGUUGAAGGUUGGGUAACACUAACUGGAGGACCGAACCGACUAAUGUUGAAAAAUUAGCGGAUGACUUGUGGCUGGGGGUGAAAGGCCAAUCAAACCGGGAGAUAGCUGGUUCUCCCCGAAAGCUAUUUAGGUAGCGCCUCGUGAAUUCAUCUCCGGGGUAGAGCACUGUUUCGGCAAGGGGGUCAUCCCGACUUACCAACCCGAUGCAAACUGCGAAUACCGGAGAAUGUUAUCACGGGAGACACACGGCGGGUGCUAACGUCCGUCGUGAAGAGGGAAACAACCCAGACCGCCAGCUAAGGUCCCAAAGUCAUGGUUAAGUGGGAAACGAUGUGGGAAGGCCCAGACAGCCAGGAUGUUGGCUUAGAAGCAGCCAUCAUUUAAAGAAAGCGUAAUAGCUCACUGGUCGAGUCGGCCUGCGCGGAAGAUGUAACGGGGCUAAACCAUGCACCGAAGCUGCGGCAGCGACGCUUAUGCGUUGUUGGGUAGGGGAGCGUUCUGUAAGCCUGCGAAGGUGUGCUGUGAGGCAUGCUGGAGGUAUCAGAAGUGCGAAUGCUGACAUAAGUAACGAUAAAGCGGGUGAAAAGCCCGCUCGCCGGAAGACCAAGGGUUCCUGUCCAACGUUAAUCGGGGCAGGGUGAGUCGACCCCUAAGGCGAGGCCGAAAGGCGUAGUCGAUGGGAAACAGGUUAAUAUUCCUGUACUUGGUGUUACUGCGAAGGGGGGACGGAGAAGGCUAUGUUGGCCGGGCGACGGUUGUCCCGGUUUAAGCGUGUAGGCUGGUUUUCCAGGCAAAUCCGGAAAAUCAAGGCUGAGGCGUGAUGACGAGGCACUACGGUGCUGAAGCAACAAAUGCCCUGCUUCCAGGAAAAGCCUCUAAGCAUCAGGUAACAUCAAAUCGUACCCCAAACCGACACAGGUGGUCAGGUAGAGAAUACCAAGGCGCUUGAGAGAACUCGGGUGAAGGAACUAGGCAAAAUGGUGCCGUAACUUCGGGAGAAGGCACGCUGAUAUGUAGGUGAAGUCCCUCGCGGAUGGAGCUGAAAUCAGUCGAAGAUACCAGCUGGCUGCAACUGUUUAUUAAAAACACAGCACUGUGCAAACACGAAAGUGGACGUAUACGGUGUGACGCCUGCCCGGUGCCGGAAGGUUAAUUGAUGGGGUCAGCGCAAGCGAAGCUCUUGAUCGAAGCCCCGGUAAACGGCGGCCGUAACUAUAACGGUCCUAAGGUAGCGAAAUUCCUUGUCGGGUAAGUUCCGACCUGCACGAAUGGCGUAAUGAUGGCUAGGCUGUCUCCACCCGAGACUCAGUGAAAUUGAACUCGCUGUGAAGAUGCAGUGUACCCGCGGCAAGACGGAAAGACCCCGUGAACCUUUACUAUAGCUUGACACUGAACAUUGAGCCUUGAUGUGUAGGAUAGGUGGGAGGCUUUGAAGUGUGGACGCCAGUCUGCAUGGAGCCGACCUUGAAAUACCACCCUUUAAUGUUUGAUGUUCUAACGUUGACCCGUAAUCCGGGUUGCGGACAGUGUCUGGUGGGUAGUUUGACUGGGGCGGUCUCCUCCUAAAGAGUAACGGAGGAGCACGAAGGUUGGCUAAUCCUGGUCGGACAUCAGGAGGUUAGUGCAAUGGCAUAAGCCAGCUUGACUGCGAGCGUGACGGCGCGAGCAGGUGCGAAAGCAGGUCAUAGUGAUCCGGUGGUUCUGAAUGGAAGGGCCAUCGCUCAACGGAUAAAAGGUACUCCGGGGAUAACAGGCUGAUACCGCCCAAGAGUUCAUAUCGACGGCGGUGUUUGGCACCUCGAUGUCGGCUCAUCACAUCCUGGGGCUGAAGUAGGUCCCAAGGGUAUGGCUGUUCGCCAUUUAAAGUGGUACGCGAGCUGGGUUUAGAACGUCGUGAGACAGUUCGGUCCCUAUCUGCCGUGGGCGCUGGAGAACUGAGGGGGGCUGCUCCUAGUACGAGAGGACCGGAGUGGACGCAUCACUGGUGUUCGGGUUGUCAUGCCAAUGGCACUGCCCGGUAGCUAAAUGCGGAAGAGAUAAGUGCUGAAAGCAUCUAAGCACGAAACUUGCCCCGAGAUGAGUUCUCCCUGACUCCUUGAGAGUCCUGAAGGAACGUUGAAGACGACGACGUUGAUAGGCCGGGUGUGUAAGCGCAGCGAUGCGUUGAGCUAACCGGUACUAAUGAACCGUGAGGCUUAACCUUACAACGCCGAAGCUGUU